GCCCGCCUAGCUCAAUCGGCCAGAGCGUCAGACUUUUACGAACGGGCAUCUGAAGGCUGCGAGUUCGACCCUCGCGGUGGGCU
This is a non-coding RNA of Tephrocybe rancida, 83 nucleotides long. NCBI's taxonomy places the organism in Eukaryota, Fungi, Basidiomycota, Agaricomycetes, Agaricales, Lyophyllaceae. The record is from the annotation of a GenBank genome assembly.